RNAcentral lists this ribosomal RNA (482 nucleotides) under uncultured bacterium. RNAcentral's name for it is "partial 16S ribosomal RNA". It matches the Rfam family "Bacterial small subunit ribosomal RNA", at positions 28 to 507 of the family's 1533-position model. The record is from RNAcentral.
GAUGAACGCUAGCGGCAGGCCUAAUACAUGCAAGUCGGACGGGAUUCAGGAGCUUGCUUCUGAUGAGAGUGGCGCACGGGUGCGUAACACGUAUGUAACCUACCUUUAUCAGGGGGAUAGCCUCUCGAAAGAGAGAUUAAGCCCGCAUAAAAUCACAGCACAGCAUUGUGUAAUGAUCAAAUAUUUAUAGGAUCAAGAUGGGCAUGCGGAACAUUAGCUAGAUGGCGGGGUAACGGCCCACCAUGGCGACGAUGUUUAGGGGAUCUGAGAGGAUGGCCCCCCACGCUGGUACUGAGACACGGACCAGACUCGGACGGGAGGCAGCAGUAAGGAAUAUUGGUGAAUGGGCGGAAGCCUGAACCAGCCAUGCCGCGGGCAGGAAGACGGCCAUACGGGUUGUAAACUGCUUUUAUACGGGAAUAAACCCAGAUACGUGUAUCUGGCUGAAUGUACUGUAAGAAUAAGGAUCGGCUAACUCCGUG